AAGAAAUAUGAAAGUUCGGGAAAAAGCUUCUAACUUCAUUCCCUAGCGGUUAAACUCCGUUAAUAUUUCU
Molecule: transfer RNA, 70 nt
Filed under: Noteridae sp. MJTNT-2012
Lineage: Eukaryota; Metazoa; Arthropoda; Insecta; Coleoptera; Noteridae
Description: tRNA-Ser
Source: RNAcentral